GCUUACGGCCACACCGCUGGUUCACGCCCGAUCUCGUUUGAUCUCGGAAGCUAAGAUAGGUUGGGCCUGGUUAGUACUUGGAUGGGAGACCGCCUGGGAAUACCAGGUGCUGUAAGCU
Scophthalmus maximus (turbot) is the source of this 118-nucleotide ribosomal RNA. NCBI's taxonomy places the organism in Eukaryota, Metazoa, Chordata, Actinopteri, Pleuronectiformes, Scophthalmidae. The record is from Ensembl.